RNAcentral lists this ribosomal RNA (492 nucleotides) under uncultured bacterium. RNAcentral describes it as "partial 16S ribosomal RNA". It matches the Rfam family "Bacterial small subunit ribosomal RNA", at positions 29 to 507 of the family's 1533-position model. The record is from RNAcentral.
AGUGAACGCUGGCGGUAGGCCUAACACAUGCAAGUCGAACGGCAGCACAGUAAGAGCUUGCUCUUACGGGUGGCGAGUGGCGGACGGGUGAGGAAUACAUCGGAAUCUACUUUUUCGUGGGGGAUAACGUAGGGAAACUUACGCUAAUACCGCAUACGACCUACGGGUGAAAGCAGGGGAUCUUCGGACCUUGCGCGAUUGAAUUAGCCGAUGUCGGAUUAGCUAGUUGGCGGGGUAAAGGCCCACCAAGGCGACGAUCCGUAGCUGGUCUGAGAGGAUGAUCAGCCACACUGGAACGGAGACACGGUCCAGACUCCUACGGGAGGCAGCAGUGGGGAAUAUUGGAAAAUGGGCGCAAGCAUGAUCAAGCAAUACCGCGUGGGUGAAGAAGGCCUUCGGGUUGUAAAGCCCUUUUGUUGGGAAAGAAAAGCAGCAGGUUAAUACCCCGCUGUUCUGACGGUACCCAAAGAAUAAGCACCGGCUAACUUCGUG